Molecule: ribosomal RNA, 322 nt
Filed under: Schmidingerella taraikaensis
Lineage: Eukaryota; Ciliophora; Spirotrichea; Tintinnida; Rhabdonellidae
Description: partial Bacterial large subunit ribosomal RNA
Rfam family: Bacterial large subunit ribosomal RNA
Source: RNAcentral
UUAAAGUGGUACGUGAGCUGGGUUUAGAACGUCGUGAGACAGUUCGGUCCCUAUCUGCCGUGGGUGUAGGAUACUUGAGAGGAGUUGCCCCUAGUACGAGAGGACCGGGGUGAACGAUCCACUGGUGGACCAGUUGUUAUGCCAAUAGCAGUGCUGGGUAGCUAUGAUCGGAAAGGAUAACCGCUGAAGGCAUCUAAGCGGGAAGCCCCCCUCAAAACAAGGUAUCCCUGAGGGCCGUGGUAGACCACCACGUCGAUAGGCCGGAGGUGUAAGCGCAGCAAUGCGUUCAGCUGACCGGUACUAAUGGCCCGAUAGGCUUGAU